This 495-nucleotide ribosomal RNA is filed under the name uncultured bacterium. RNAcentral's name for it is "partial 16S ribosomal RNA". It matches the Rfam family "Bacterial small subunit ribosomal RNA", at positions 28 to 507 of the family's 1533-position model. The record is from RNAcentral.
GACGAACGCUGGCGGCGUGCCUAAUACAUGCAAGUAGAACGCUGAAGGAGGAGCUUGCUUCUCUGGAUGAGUUGCGAACGGGUGAGUAACGCGUAGGUAACCUGCCUGGUAGCGGGGGAUAACUAUUGGAAACGAUAGCUAAUACCGCAUAAGAGUAGAUGUUGCAUGACAUUUGCUUAAAAGGUGCAAUUGCAUCACUACCAGAUGGACCUGCGUUGUAUUAGCUAGUUGGUGGGGUAACGGCUUACCAAGGCGACGAUACAUAGCCGACCUGAGAGGGUGAUCGGCCACACUGGGACUGAGACACGGCCCAGACUCCUACGGGAGGCAGCAGUAGGGAAUCUUCGGCAAUGGACGGAAGUCUGACCGAGCAACGACGCGUGAGUGAAGAAGGUUUUCGGGUCGUAAAGCUCUGUUGUAAGAGAAGGACGAGUGUGAGAGUGGAAAGUUCACACUGUGACGGUAUCUUACCAGAAAGGGACGGCUAACUACGUG